CAGGAUUCUAAGACUCUUCUCCCCCUCCCCCUCCUUCUCCUCCUUCUCCUCCUUCCUUCUCCCUCUCCCUCUCUCUCUCCCUCUCCCUCUCCCCCUUCUCCUUCUCCUUCUCCUUCUCCUUCUCCUUCUCCUUCUCCUUCUCCUUCUUUCUACUCUCUCCUCCUUCUCCUUGUCCUCCUUCCUCCCUUCCCCUUCCCUUUCUUUCUUCUCUCUCCUUCUCCUUCAAGAAAUGGACCCCCUAACGUUUAUAAACAUUUUGAUGGGAUUUGCAAGAUUCUGGAGAAAUAUGUAACCAAAUUACAUGAAUUGGAUAAAACCAAAGGGACCAUCAGUUCCAAUCUACCCCUCAAUAAGAAUUCGCAAUAUGACAUAAUUGCCAACUGUCAUCUGUAUUUUUGCUUGAAGACUGCCUUUGUAGAGACAUCCAACUUUCUCGGCAGACUAUCCCCCUUUAGAAUACAUCUAAUUGUUCAGUUUGUUUGUUUUGAUUUACAAAAAGCCUUCUCUUUUUGACUUCCUGAUUAAAUUUGUUCAGCUAUUUGAGAUGUUAUAAAUGUUUCUUACAUUUACUAUUUAAGUGAAAUAAUAUUGCAAUAUAUGUGAACCUAUUUUUUCAGUCACUGUUUUUCACCACUUAUAAUUAAUUAAGUUCAAUAAUUUUCAUUAAAUAUAUAAGAUGUGUAGUGCAUUGUAUGAGAUAAUUGGGAUAAACAGAUGAAAAAGUAACUAGGCCAUCCCUGACUUUCAGUGUGGUGGAGCAAACAGAACACUGGUUCUAGGGUCAGAGGGUGCAAAUCCAGCCACUUAUCCUUACUACCUGUGUGACCUCAAACAAUUCAUUUCAUCCCCUUGAGCCUCAGUUUCCUCAUUUGUAAAAAAAGAAUAAGAUUAGAUUGCUUUUGUUAUCCCUUCAACCUCUAGAAUUAUGAUCUCAUGAUGUUUCAUUCUAUUAGUGAGAAAAGAAACAUAAACUAAGCAAAACUGCAAUAUGUCUAUAGGAGAGGUCAUAAGAUAAGGAAAAGGAUAAGAUGAUCACUUCAAGGUGGGAGGAUCAGGAAGAGAACCAAAGAAGAAGAAGUGAUGUGAAGGAGAGAGUCUUUUCCCAGUAAGGGAACUACAUGGAUAAAUGUGCACAACUGGGAAAGAGUAAGAUGACAAAGAUAAUAGUUGUUUGAUUGGAAUUGAGCAAUAAUGUGAAACAAAGAUGGGCUGAUUAUUUAGAGGUAGAUAGGGAAAUAGGGGGCAACUAACCUUUAAUAAAUAGCCCCCUGCCAAGGAAAUAUCUUCA
Long non-coding RNA from Monodelphis domestica (gray short-tailed opossum), 1288 nucleotides. NCBI's taxonomy places the organism in Eukaryota, Metazoa, Chordata, Mammalia, Didelphimorphia, Didelphidae. The record is from Ensembl.